Long non-coding RNA from Nasonia vitripennis (jewel wasp), 861 nucleotides. RefSeq lists it as uncharacterized. The record is from RefSeq and is a predicted model, not a curated record. Lineage: Eukaryota; Metazoa; Arthropoda; Insecta; Hymenoptera; Pteromalidae. The transcript has 4 exons.
UACGCUUCGGCCAUUUCUACUAUUAAUCUGACUGGGUGGGUUCUCUCGCUCGUUUCCGACCGCGCGGCUGCUGCUGACCGCCAGAUGCACCUACCAAAGAGUUAUAUACCAUCGCGUCGAGGUACUAGCGGCACUGACUGGGAGAGAAAAAACGAACCUAACUUUUGAAACUAAUUAUGGGUCCAACUUAUGCUUCAACUGCUCCAGCAUUUCAUAGCCAUUUUCAUUGGCCUGUUCCAGGAAGACCUUGCCUUCGUUACUCGUCUGUCGAAAACAAAAAAGCUCUAAGUCAAGCUGCUGUCAGAUGCGAACUACGAUGCAUGUUCCAACAAAUCUAGUCCUGCAAUGGCCUAGAUAAUAUAAGUCCCAACGUCCACAAUCGGUGUACGACAGUAGCGCAGCUCUCGGAACGGAGAAACGUCGUACUUCGCUCUUCACGAUUGGCAAUAUCUUGUACGAUAUCUUCUUUGUGCACAUCGAUACAGAUAUAUAGAUAUAUUAUACACUCCGCCUAGCUUCCCCCACUCUAUAGCGAAGAGUAGAGAGAAGCACAGCUCAGUGCAGUGCUGCACGCAUUGUUGACGAGUCGUAACCUUUAAAUCUGUAUGUAACGAUGUAACUGACACGCGCGCGUCGGUGGUGCUAUUGUCUGUACUUGAUUGGAUGUCAAUUGCCUAUUAUACUGUGUGGUAGAAUAGGUAACUCGUCGCUAAUCAAACGAAUCGAGCGCUGUUUUCACUGACUAUAAAGCUUUGUAGUUUGAAAUUUGUGUUACAGCAUGAGGCUAACUUCACAAGUCGACUCUUCAAUGAGUAAGUAACACACUCAUACAUCGAAUAAAUCUCUUUUCCGCAUCUGCUA